RNAcentral lists this ribosomal RNA (1313 nucleotides) under Lactobacillus sp. G7_3_2MCO2. Its description in RNAcentral is "bacterial SSU rRNA". It matches the Rfam family "Bacterial small subunit ribosomal RNA", at positions 98 to 1398 of the family's 1533-position model. Lineage: Bacteria; Bacillati; Bacillota; Bacilli; Lactobacillales; Lactobacillaceae. The record is from RNAcentral.
GCGAACUGGUGAGUAACACGUGGGUAACCUGCCCCGAAGCGGGGGAUAACAUUUGGAAACAAGUGCUAAUACCGCAUAAUUAGUUGGAACCGCAUGGUUCCAACUUGAAAGAUGGCUCUGCUAUCACUUUGGGAUGGACCCGCGCCGUAUUAGUUAGUUGGUGAGAUAAAAGCCCACCAAGACGAUGAUACGUAGCCGACCUGAGAGGGUAAUCGGCCACAUUGGGACUGAGACACGGCCCAGACUCCUACGGGAGGCAGCAGUAGGGAAUCUUCCACAAUGGACGAAAGUCUGAUGGAGCAACGCCGCGUGAGUGAUGAAGGUUUUCGGAUCGUAAAACUCUGUUGUUAAAGAAGAACAAGUGUUAGAGUAACUGUUAACACUUUGACGGUAUUUAACCAGAAAGCCACGGCUAACUACGUGCCAGCAGCCGCGGUAAUACGUAGGUGGCAAGCGUUGUCCGGAUUUAUUGGGCGUAAAGCGAGCGCAGGCGGUUUUGUAAGUCUGCUGUGAAAGCCCUCAGCUCAACUGAGGAAGUGCAGUGGAAACUACAAAACUUGAGUACAGAAGAGGAAAGUGGAACUCCAUGUGUAGCGGUGAAAUGCGUAGAUAUAUGGAAGAACACCAGUGGCGAAGGCGGCUUUCUGGUCUGUUACUGACGCUGAGGCUCGAAAGCAUGGGUAGCGAACAGGAUUAGAUACCCUGGUAGUCCAUGCCGUAAACGAUGAAUACUAGGUGUUGGAGGGUUUCCGCCCUUCAGUGCCGCAGNUAACGCAUUAAGUAUUCCGCCUGGGGAGUACGACCGCAAGGUUGAAACUCAAAGGAAUUGACGGGGGCCCGCACAAGUGGUGGAGCAUGUGGUUUAAUUCGAUGCUACGCGAAGAACCUUACCAGCUCUUGACAUCUUCUGCCAACCCAAGAGAUUGGGCGUUCCCUUCGGGGACAGAAUGACAGGUGGUGCAUGGUUGUCGUCAGCUCGUGUCGUGAGAUGUUGGGUUAAGUCCCGCAACGAGCGCAACCCUUAUUAUUAGUUGCCAGCAUUUAGUUGGGCACUCUAGUGAGACUGCCGGUGAUAAACCGGAGGAAGGUGGGGACGACGUCAAAUCAUCAUGCCCCUUAUGAGCUGGGCUACACACGUGCUACAAUGGAUGGUACAACGAGUCGCGAAACCGCGAGGUCAAGCUAAUCUCUUAAAGCCAUUCUCAGUUCGGAUUGCAGGCUGCAACUCGCCUGCAUGAAGUUGGAAUCACUAGUAAUCGUGGAUCAGCAUGCCACGGUGAAUACGUUCCCGGGCCUUGUACACACCGCCCGUC